This 1823-nucleotide ribosomal RNA is filed under the name Pseudomonas aeruginosa. Its description in RNAcentral is "partial 23S ribosomal RNA". It matches the Rfam family "Bacterial large subunit ribosomal RNA", at positions 1120 to 2925 of the family's 2925-position model. Lineage: Bacteria; Pseudomonadati; Pseudomonadota; Gammaproteobacteria; Pseudomonadales; Pseudomonadaceae. The record is from RNAcentral.
CCUUUAAAGAAAGCGUAAUAGCUCACUAGUCGAGUCGGCCUGCGCGGAAGAUGUAACGGGGCUCAAACCACACACCGAAGCUGCGGGUGUCACGUAAGUGACGCGGUAGAGGAGCGUUCUGUAAGCCUGUGAAGGUGAGUUGAGAAGCUUGCUGGAGGUAUCAGAAGUGCGAAUGCUGACAUGAGUAACGACAAUGGGUGUGAAAAACACCCACGCCGAAAGACCAAGGGUUCCUGCGCAACGUUAAUCGACGCAGGGUUAGUCGGUUCCUAAGGCGAGGCUGAAAAGCGUAGUCGAUGGGAAACAGGUUAAUAUUCCUGUACUUCUGGUUACUGCGAUGGAGGGACGGAGAAGGCUAGGCCAGCUUGGCGUUGGUUGUCCAAGUUUAAGGUGGUAGGCUGAAAUCUUAGGUAAAUCCGGGGUUUCAAGGCCGAGAGCUGAUGACGAGUCGUCUUUUAGAUGACGAAGUGGUUGAUGCCAUGCUUCCAAGAAAAGCUUCUAAGCUUCAGGUAACCAGGAACCGUACCCCAAACCGACACAGGUGGUCGGGUAGAGAAUACCAAGGCGCUUGAGAGAACUCGGGUGAAGGAACUAGGCAAAAUGGCACCGUAACUUCGGGAGAAGGUGCGCCGGCUAGGGUGAAGGAUUUACUCCGUAAGCUCUGGCUGGUCGAAGAUACCAGGCCGCUGCGACUGUUUAUUAAAAACACAGCACUCUGCAAACACGAAAGUGGACGUAUAGGGUGUGACGCCUGCCCGGUGCCGGAAGGUUAAUUGAUGGGGUUAGCGCAAGCGAAGCUCUUGAUCGAAGCCCCGGUAAACGGCGGCCGUAACUAUAACGGUCCUAAGGUAGCGAAAUUCCUUGUCGGGUAAGUUCCGACCUGCACGAAUGGCGUAACGAUGGCGGCGCUGUCUCCACCCGAGACUCAGUGAAAUUGAAAUCGCUGUGAAGAUGCAGUGUAUCCGCGGCUAGACGGAAAGACCCCGUGAACCUUUACUGUAGCUUUGCACUGGACUUUGAGCCUGCUUGUGUAGGAUAGGUGGGAGGCUUUGAAGCGUGGACGCCAGUUCGCGUGGAGCCAUCCUUGAAAUACCACCCUGGCAUGCUUGAGGUUCUAACUCUGGUCCGUAAUCCGGAUCGAGGACAGUGUAUGGUGGGCAGUUUGACUGGGGCGGUCUCCUCCUAAAGAGUAACGGAGGAGUACGAAGGUGCGCUCAGACCGGUCGGAAAUCGGUCGCAGAGUAUAAAGGCAAAAGCGCGCUUGACUGCGAGACAGACACGUCGAGCAGGUACGAAAGUAGGUCUUAGUGAUCCGGUGGUUCUGUAUGGAAGGGCCAUCGCUCAACGGAUAAAAGGUACUCCGGGGAUAACAGGCUGAUACCGCCCAAGAGUUCAUAUCGACGGCGGUGUUUGGCACCUCGAUGUCGGCUCAUCACAUCCUGGGGCUGAAGCCGGUCCCAAGGGUAUGGCUGUUCGCCAUUUAAAGUGGUACGCGAGCUGGGUUUAGAACGUCGUGAGACAGUUCGGUCCCUAUCUGCCGUGGACGUUUGAGAUUUGAGAGGGGCUGCUCCUAGUACGAGAGGACCGGAGUGGACGAACCUCUGGUGUUCCGGUUGUCACGCCAGUGGCAUUGCCGGGUAGCUAUGUUCGGAAAAGAUAACCGCUGAAAGCAUCUAAGCGGGAAACUUGCCUCAAGAUGAGAUCUCACUGGGAACUUGAUUCCCCUGAAGGGCCGUCGAAGACUACGACGUUGAUAGGCUGGGUGUGUAAGCGUUGUGAGGCGUUGAGCUAACCAGUACUAAUUGCCCGUGAGGCUUGACCAU